RNAcentral lists this unclassified non-coding RNA (370 nucleotides) under Hevea brasiliensis (rubber tree). Lineage: Eukaryota; Viridiplantae; Streptophyta; Magnoliopsida; Malpighiales; Euphorbiaceae. The record is from RNAcentral.
AUAGUUGAUUACUCUGAUAUCACAUGCUACCAGCUCUUUCAGGAGUAGAUUUUGUUGUCUUGAGUUUUGCAAUGUCAACCAGGUCUCCAAACAGCUUGUCUUCUGGCUUGGAAGGCUUCUUCGGUGGCAAGUAAGAUGAUGUGGCAACCUGAUAAGACGAGUUUCUCAAAGUGCUAUCAUCCCUGAAAGUCAGCCCAUACAUUUGCUGCUCAAGAUACUGCGUCCCUUGUGGAGCAUACCCAUAUCCUGCCAUUUGGUUGCCAUACACAUGUUGAGGAUACAUUGCAGCUAUUUGCCCAGUUUGCAUUGGCUGAGGGAGCAUACCCAUAUACGUCCCUCCUUGGACUGCUUGAGGAUGCAAACCUAACUG